This is a non-coding RNA of Lepisosteus oculatus (spotted gar), 211 nucleotides long. Lineage: Eukaryota; Metazoa; Chordata; Actinopteri; Semionotiformes; Lepisosteidae. The record is from RefSeq and is a predicted model, not a curated record.
AUGAAUGAGGGUCACAAUUGAGGGCGAGGAGAAAACAGCAGUAGUUUCAAGUCCUUUCAAGCCCAAUUUCUUCAGUGCUUCACCUGCAUAUGCAUUUUUCUCUAUUGGGAUUUUCAUAGAGAAGGCAGGAUCUGAAUAGCUCUAGGCUUCCCUGAAGCUAAUGUCCACUCUUGGUGCUUUAUAUGUUGUUCUACCUGAUUGAGCUCACCUG